This 269-nucleotide ribosomal RNA is filed under the name uncultured prokaryote. RNAcentral describes it as "partial 16S ribosomal RNA". It matches the Rfam family "Bacterial small subunit ribosomal RNA", at positions 524 to 792 of the family's 1533-position model. The record is from RNAcentral.
UACGGAGGAUCCGAGCGUUAUCCGGAUUUAUUGGGUUUAAAGGGUGCGCAGGCGGGGGAUUAAGUCGGCGGUGAAAUUUUGCAGCUCAACUGUAAAAGUGCCUUCGAAACUGGUCUCCUUGAGUGUAGAUGAAGUAGGCGGAAUUUGUGGUGUAGCGGUGAAAUGCAUAGAUAUCACGAGGAACUCCGAUUGCGCAGGCAGCUUACUAAACUACUACUGACGCUCAGGCACGAAGGCGUGGGGAUCAAACAGGAUUAGAUACCCUGGUA